Molecule: ribosomal RNA, 604 nt
Filed under: uncultured Bacteroidota bacterium
Lineage: Bacteria; Pseudomonadati; Bacteroidota
Description: bacterial SSU rRNA
Rfam family: Bacterial small subunit ribosomal RNA
Source: RNAcentral
GUUCCGAGCGUUAUCCGGAUUUAUUGGGUUUAAAGGGAGCGUAGGCGGGUUGUUAAGUCAGUUGUGAAAGUUUGCGGCUCAACCGUAAAAUUGCAGUUGAUACUGGCGACCUUGAGUGCAACAGAGGUAGGCGGAAUUCGUGGUGUAGCGGUGAAAUGCUUAGAUAUCACGAAGAACUCCGAUUGCGAAGGCAGCUUACUGGAUUGUAACUGACGCUGAUGCUCGAAAGUGUGGGUAUCAAACAGGAUUAGAUACCCUGGUAGUCCACACAGUAAACGAUGAAUACUCGCUGUUGGCGAUAUACAGUCAGCGGCCAAGCGAAAGCAUUAAGUAUUCCACCUGGGGAGUACGCCGGCAACGGUGAAACUCAAAGGAAUUGACGGGGGCCCGCACAAGCGGAGGAACAUGUGGUUUAAUUCGAUGAUACGCGAGGAACCUUACCCGGGCUUAAAUUGCAACUGACGGAAUCGGAAACGGUUCUUUCUUCGGACAGUUGUGAAGGUGCUGCAUGGUUGUCGUCAGCUCGUGCCGUGAGGUGUCGGCUUAAGUGCCAUAACGAGCGCAACCCUUACGGGUAGUUACCAUCAGUUAUGCUGGGGACUCU